This 398-nucleotide ribosomal RNA is filed under the name uncultured bacterium. RNAcentral's name for it is "partial 16S ribosomal RNA". It matches the Rfam family "Bacterial small subunit ribosomal RNA", at positions 338 to 733 of the family's 1533-position model. The record is from RNAcentral.
CCUACGGGUGGCAGCAGUGAGGAAUAUUGGUCAAUGGACGGGAGACUGAACCAGCCAAGCCGCGUGAGGGAGGAAGGUCCUGUGAGUCGUAAACCGCUUUUGUCAGGGAACAAAUCCCGAUACGUGUCUCCGGCUGAGUGUAUCUUACGAAUAAGGAUCGGCUAACUCCGUGCCAGCAGCCGCGGUAAUACGGAGGAUGCAAGCGUUAUCCGGAUUUAUUGGGUUUAAAGGGUGCGCAGGCGGUGUGUUAAGUUAGCGGUCAAAGCCCGGGGCUCAACUCCGGCUCUGCGUUUGAUACUGGCAGGCUCGAGUUGGGGAGCGGUAGGCGGAAUGUGUGGUGUAGCGGUGAAAUGCAUAGAGAUCACGCAGAACACCGAUUGCGAAGGCAGCAUGCCGGA